Mytilus californianus (California mussel) is the source of this 3948-nucleotide long non-coding RNA. RefSeq lists it as uncharacterized. Lineage: Eukaryota; Metazoa; Mollusca; Bivalvia; Mytilida; Mytilidae. The transcript is spliced from 4 exons. The record is from RefSeq and is a predicted model, not a curated record.
UUAAGAUUUCGAUAUCCACCAGGACAAAUGACGGAUUUAGUACCUGUUACUUUUGCAAGCAGACCAGUAGGAUUGGUGAUUGACCCUUUAUAUAACCAUGUGUAUUGGACAGAACGAUCCUCCGGGAAGCUUUGUAGAUGUAAUUUAGAUGGGUCACUAAAAUCAGUUAUAUUGAAGGAUGAUCCACUCUUUGCUCUCACAUUUGAUUAUCGGAACAGAUGGCUGUAUUACAGUACGGAUGGUACAAAAAAAAUCAAUUAGGCGAUUGAAACUUAACGCUUCUGAAAAUCAAACAAUCAUAAAUGUUCAAUCAGAACUAGUUACUGGUAUGAGCAUUGAUAAUGAUAAAGAUCGCCUUUAUUGGAUGGAAUUCAAUAAUGGAUUCUUGAAAUCAUCAACAUUAAAUGGAACUAGUGUCAUAACGGUUUUUAACACAAAUACAAACAAUAAAAACCAAGAUAUCCAUGUGUACCGAGGAAACGUGUACUGUGCAAAUGGUAAUUCUUUACUUAAUGUGACACAAGAAGUAUCAGCGCAUGUCAUUUACAAUAAUACAGGAAUAAUAUAUAGUGUAUUUAUUCAUGAUGAAAACCAUGAAACACGUACGUAUACUUAACAUAUUCGAUAUUCUAAUUUUUUUUAAAAAGGAAAUAUGAAAAGUAUUUUUAAGUGAUAGAUCUAAAUUUUGUUAAAAAGAAACAAUUUAAAACAGGUUUAUAUUUUCUUAAUUAUAAAUUGAUUACCAGUUGAAUAAAUUUAAAUAAUUCACUGCAUUUAGUAAUAUCCUUAAUUUUAGACAAACGACGAUGGAUUAUCUCAUUGAAGUAGAUUACGUUAUACAUUUCUUAUUGUAAUGAUUCAUCAGUGUGUUUUAGCAUUAAUUAUACAGUAAGCAGUGAUUAUGUUCAUUUGGUUUGAAAUUCAGCAGAAAUGUAUUAUUUAACACAAUUAUGUUUUCACAUUCUUUAUUUACUUUUUCGCAAUUAUGUAAAUAUGUGAACUUGCUAGCUUAACUGAUCGCUUUUUUCAUCCAUGCAUUUUUUUUUACUAAAUACGUACUAAGUAAGAUAACAAAAAUACCGAGCUCCAGGGAAAAUUCAAAACGGAAAGUCCCUUAUCAAAUGGUGAAAUCUAAAGCUUAAACACAUCAAACGAAUGAAAAACAAUUGUCUUAUUCCGAGUUUCAUUCAGGCAUUUCCUAAUGCAGAAAAUGGUGGAUUACACCUGGUUGUAUAGCUAGCUUAACCUCUCACUUGUAUGACAAUCGUAUAGAAUUUCAUUAUAUUGACAACAAUGUGUUGACAACAUGUAUGAAGAAUCUGGGUAUAAACAUAAUUGUUGAAACUCGUACCAAUUGUUUAUCAAAAUGGGCUAGUUAAUAGUAUCUCAAGAAAUUGCAUGUCUAACACUAUCAAAUUUUCGUUUAUUAUACUACAUUUUGAACUUAGCCAGUGUGAUGUUCUAUAAACAGGUACUGCAUCUAACGAGCAACACUUGAAUAUUUAUCACUGUCUGCGCAUGACCAAAUGUUCAGUAAAAUAAUUAAUACCGUGUAUAAAUAUGUUAUAAGACGACAGUCUUACAGAAUAAAUCGUAUUAUAAAAACAGCUGAUGUACUCCUUGAGCUGCGUCGGAUAGAAAUCGACCUUAAAAAUAUGAAUAUCAAUACAUCUGUUAACCUAUUUCGGGUUGAAAAAUCUCUAUGCAAAGUCUGUAACUAUUUGAAAAUUGAGUUGUUAUAAGACCCUUACAAAACAGAUCAAAAUUCAUCAUUAAUUUCGUAUUUGAAUGUUCAAAAAUUAAAAUAAAAGGUCACAUGUUAUUGCUGUAUUGUAUUCCUUCGCAUUAAUACUAUCGCUUUGCAAUUAUACGAAUUAUGCAUGCUUAACAAUACACUAAUUAAUAGUACUUUAUUUGUUGUGUGACAAUUAUUUGUAUAAACAAAUUUUAAAAAAUGUAUCAUUCAUGCAAAGUAGUUUUAUGAUUAAUACAGUUUUGAUGUUUCAUGAAAGAACAUGUUGUCAAUCAAUGAACUAAUCUAAGAUACCAGGAUUGAAUUUUGUACUUCAGACGCGCGUUUGGUCUAUAAAAGACUCAACAGUGACGGUCGAAAAAAAAUAAGUUAAAAGUUAAAAAGCUCAAAAAAAAAAAAAAAAAAAAAAAAAAACGAAGUAUGAAUUGGUGAUGUAUGUUUUCUAUAUAGUGGUAAUUGGAGAAGUUAUUCAAUUAUAGUGUUUUCUUAGUUUCUUUAAGCAUAGAUAAUGUGUUUGAAUAUAUAAUCAGUUAUUUUAUUUGAAUCGCUGUGUGUUUACUGACUUUCAAUGGUGAGUAGGAUUAUUUAUAUCCAAACCAAUUUGUUAAUUCUGCACGAAUGCCUAUGAAAUAUAAGAAAAUAGUAGUAACACAGAUGAAUUCAAAACGGACAAUAUGUCAAGGGUCUAAGCGUUCCAUACUAUAAAGAAAUAAGAAGAUGUGGUAUGAGUACCAAUGAGAAACUCUCCAUCCAAGUCACAAUUUGUAAAAAGUAAACAAUUAUAGGUCAAAGUACGGCCUUCAACACGGAGCCUUGGCUUACACCGAACAGCAAGCUAUAAAGGGCCCCAAAAUGACAAGUGUAAAACAAUUCAAACAGGAAAACCAACAGUCUAAUCUAUAUAAAAAGCGAGAAACGAGAAACACAUAAGAACCACAUCAACAAACGACAACCACUGAAACAGGUUCCUGACUUAGGACAGGUGCAAACAAAUGCAGCAGGUGUAUUUAAUCAAAGUCUGACAUUAAGGAAGCAGUUGCAAUCGGUAGGUCUCUAGAUCAUACGACUUUUGAUGUAUCUAAUUCUCAAAGACUAAUAACUGAGCUUUAGUGAUUUGAAAAAAUCAAAAGUUUUUCCUCUCUUAAACAAUGGAAAAAUAAAAAAAAAGAUUUGAAAAUAUAAGGAAACUAUAUUUGAUCUGGACAGCUCUUUACAGAAUGAGCAAUAAACGAUACGUCAUGUCAAGUCUUACAUUGUAAGACUUAUCCUCCGCUACAAACUUAGAAUUAUUCAUACAAUUUGCUGGCAGGCAAUACAGGAACAACAAUGUAUGUGUUGUCAAUGGACAGACAUUUUUUAUCUGUAAAUAACACAAAAUAUUCAACUAUCUAAUAAACUAUUGAAGAGAACGAGAUUGAGCAAAUGCAAAAUGUUUGAACAUUAUUGCAUAAACAAACAAAACCAACUUCCCGCACAAGACUUGACAUUUGCAAAUUAUGCUGAAAUCGAAACGGUCGUUUAAGAUUUAAAUUCUUUUAAAAAGGAUACCAGUUUGUUGGGGUUUUUUUUAACAUACAUCACAGAACAUCACAAUUAAUUGUAAAACAGAGGGGUGUUUCAAUGAAAGUGUCUUUAUUAUUCGCCAUUGUAAACUUCGGUGCAGUUAUAUAAAUUAAUGAGGUUGCUUUGUUUUAGAUGUUUUUAUUUGAUUGUUUUUCAUGGGAUACACACAUGUGACAACUAAAUCAGAAAUGUAUUACUUAAAGGAAACUAAACGAUUAUAAACUAAACAAGACCGGCAGUAUCAAAAAGGAAUGCAUGGUACAUCUUUGAUAAACUGAUAACGGAUAUAAAAAAUCGAAUUUAAGAAUUCAUGUGUGUCGCCAAAACAACAAGAAAAAUAGAGACUAUUGCAAUAAAUGACAGGUCGAGUUUUAUGUUUGGAGUUUUUUGGAGAGACUGAGGACAUAUGUUUACAAUAUUAAUUUGUUAAUUCUAUAAUUCAGAACAAUGUCCACAAGAAAGGAACUAUUGAUUUGUUUCGUUUGAUUUUGAAGAAGAUGAGAAAUUCAUAAAAAGUGUAAGCUAAUAUAAAAUUGAAAUUGGAGAUCAGCCGAGAACUCAAGAUUUAAAAAAACUAUAUAUAUGUUGCAAAUAAAAUAACAUGUCUCUCUAAUAUAAUUCAUAAAACAAUA